UACGAAGGUGGCUAGCGUUGUUCGGAUUUAUUGGGCGUAAAGGGUCCGCAGGCGGUUUGAUAAGUCAGGUGUGAAAUCCAACAGCUUAACUGUUGACACGCAUUUGAUACUGUCAGACUAGAGUAUGAGAGGGGUGAGAGGAAUUUCCAGUGUAGGGGUGAAAUCCGUAGAUAUUGGAAAGAACACCGGCCGCGAAGGCGUUUCACUGACUCAUUACUGACGCUCAGGGACGAAAGCUAGGGGAGCAAACGGG
Molecule: ribosomal RNA, 253 nt
Filed under: uncultured bacterium
Lineage: Bacteria
Description: partial 16S ribosomal RNA
Rfam family: Bacterial small subunit ribosomal RNA
Source: RNAcentral